This 254-nucleotide ribosomal RNA is filed under the name uncultured bacterium. Its description in RNAcentral is "partial 16S ribosomal RNA". It matches the Rfam family "Bacterial small subunit ribosomal RNA", at positions 524 to 777 of the family's 1533-position model. The record is from RNAcentral.
UACGAAGGGGACUAGCGUUGUUCGGAAUCACUGGGCGUAAAGCGCACGUAGGCGGAUGUGUCAGUCAGGGGUGAAAUCCCGGGGCUCAACCUCGGAACUGCCUUUGAUACAGCACGUCUCGAGUCCGGAAGAGGUGGGUGGAAUUCCUAGUGUAGAGGUGAAAUUCGUAGAUAUUAGGAAGAACACCGGUGGCGAAGGCGGCCCACUGGUCCGGUACUGACGCUGAGGUGCGAAAGCGUGGGGAGCAAACAGGG